Molecule: ribosomal RNA, 372 nt
Filed under: Triticum aestivum (bread wheat)
Lineage: Eukaryota; Viridiplantae; Streptophyta; Magnoliopsida; Poales; Poaceae
Description: partial small subunit ribosomal RNA
Source: RNAcentral
AUGUUUGAUAGCUCUCAAUAUAGGAUCAGUACGGGCUGUGGCGAGCCAUCAACUCUUCAUGCAGAAGACGGUGACUACGUUGUUGGUGGUGGUGGUUUGAGAGAAACUGAAUUGAAAAGGUUCCUAGACCUAUACUCUGUGAGGUAUCAUAUGCAAUUGGGAUUCAAGUUUUUCAUAAUUUUCUGUAGCUUGAUACUGUGCCAAGCCACGAUCCUAUCUCCUCUCUGCCGUGGUGUAAGUGAUGCGGGGAGGCCAGUGUGGUUGAGGGAGAUCUUGCCCGUAAGGUGCCAUUUGGCCUACUCCUCUUGUCCUCAGCCCGUUCAAGUGCUGGGAUUUGAAAAGCUAGAGAUGCAUUUUUUCCAGGGAGUCUGA